RNAcentral lists this ribosomal RNA (405 nucleotides) under uncultured bacterium. RNAcentral's name for it is "bacterial SSU rRNA". It matches the Rfam family "Bacterial small subunit ribosomal RNA", at positions 335 to 755 of the family's 1533-position model. The record is from RNAcentral.
ACUCCUACGGGAGGCAACAGUGGGGAAUAUUGGACAAUGGACCAAAAGUCUGAUCCAGCAAUUCUGUGUGUUUGAUGAAGGCCUUCGGGUUGUAAAGAACUUUCAGUGGGGAAGAAGCAAGUGACGGUACCACAGAAGAAGCGACGGCUAAAUACGUGCCAGCAGCCGCGGUAAUACGUAUGUCGCAAGCGUUAUCCGGAAUUAUUGGGCAUAAAGGGCGUCUAGGCGGUCUAAUAAGUCUGAUGUGAAAAUGCGGGGCUCAACUCCGUAUUGCGUUGGAAACUGUUAGACUAGAGUUUUGGAGAGGUAGGCGGAACUACAAGUGUAGAGGUGAAAUUCGUAGAGAUUUGUAGGAAUGCCGAUGACGAAGGUAGCUUACUGGACAAAUACUGACGCUGAAGCGCG